Molecule: long non-coding RNA, 293 nt
Filed under: Nicotiana benthamiana
Lineage: Eukaryota; Viridiplantae; Streptophyta; Magnoliopsida; Solanales; Solanaceae
Description: long non-coding RNA (NBEN_LNC033531)
Source: RNAcentral
UCUUUUACUCAUAUCUACUCAUUAAGGAGUGUCUUGUUUGAGUGCUUAGUGUUUUGUACACUUGAAGAGAAUUGUUAUUCUCUUGUUGUAAGAAGGAACAAGUGUUUCCUUGGUUGAAGUCUUGAAGUGUUGUAUCUCCGAGCAAAGAAGUUGAGGCUUGUGUCCUCAAGUUGUGAAGGAACUUGUGUUUCCUUUUGUUGAAGUCUUGGAGUGUUGUAUCUCCGAGCAAAGGUGUUGAGGCUUGUGUCCUCAAGUUGUAAAGGUUUGUUAAGCACCCGGAAGCUUGACAAGUN